GGUGCAUUGCCGUAAUGGUAGCGGAGCGUCUUGCUAAGUCGUCCUGCAGAAAUGCAGUACAGGUUCGAAUCCUGUAUGCACCG
This 83-nucleotide transfer RNA is filed under the name Clostridium sp. AM30-24. RNAcentral describes it as "tRNA-Ser". It matches the Rfam family "tRNA". Rfam says of the family: Transfer RNA (tRNA) molecules are approximately 80 nucleotides in length. Their secondary structure includes four short double-helical elements and three loops (D, anti-codon, and T loops). Lineage: Bacteria; Bacillati; Bacillota; Clostridia; Eubacteriales; Clostridiaceae. The record is from RNAcentral. RNAcentral also lists the same sequence under 2 other names.